This 434-nucleotide ribosomal RNA is filed under the name uncultured bacterium. Its description in RNAcentral is "partial 16S ribosomal RNA". It matches the Rfam family "Bacterial small subunit ribosomal RNA", at positions 29 to 508 of the family's 1533-position model. The record is from RNAcentral.
AACGAACGCUGGCGGCAUGCCUAACACAUGCAAGUCGAACGAGACCUUCGGGUCUAGUGGCGCACGGGUGCGUAACGCGUGGGAACCUGCCCUUAGGUUCGGAAUAACUCCCCGAAAGGGGUGCUAAUACCGGAUAAUGUCUUCGGACCAAAGAUUUAUCGCCUUUGGAUGGGCCCGCGUUGGAUUAGCUAGUUGGUAGGGUAAAAGCCUACCAAGGCGACGAUCCAUAGCUGGUCUGAGAGGAUGAUCAGCCACACUGGGACUGAGACACGGCCCAGACUCCUACGGGAGGCAGCAGUGGGGAAUAUUGGACAAUGGGCGAAGGCCUGAUCCAGCAAUGCCGCGUGAGUGAUGAAGGCCUUAGGGUUGUAAAGCUCUUUUACCCGGGAUGAUAAUGACAGUACCGGGAGAAUAAGCUCCGGCUAACUCCGUGC